Long non-coding RNA from Drosophila ananassae, 1906 nucleotides. RefSeq lists it as uncharacterized. The record is from RefSeq and is a predicted model, not a curated record. Lineage: Eukaryota; Metazoa; Arthropoda; Insecta; Diptera; Drosophilidae. The transcript has 2 exons.
AAAAGCCCUAAUCAAACAUUAAGACCGCCAAUGGGAGAACAAAGUGUUUCCAUACGUCCUUUUCAAAGAUUAUAUAUUGAUAUUCUCGGCCCAUAUCCCCGUAGUAAAAGAGGCUAUACUGGAUUAUUUAUAGUGCUUGACCAUUUUAGUAGAUAUCACUGGCUGUGUCCAUUAAAGAAAGCUACGACCGGAAGUAUUAACAACUUUUUAGAAGAUCGAAUUUUUUGUGAGUUUGGAGUUCCAGAGUCUAUUGUUAGUGACAACGGCUCACAAUUCAAAGCAAAAGAAUUUGAAGCGAUGUUAACUAGGUUUGGAAUUCGACACAUUUGUACCGCCCUCUACUCUCCGCAAAGCAAUGCAGCUGAACGAGUAAAUCGCUCGAUAAUUACAGCUAUCCGUUCGUAUCUUAAGAAUGAUCAAACCGACUGGGAUGUUAAUUUAACUUGCAUUUCAUCCGCUUUGAGAUCGGCAUUGCAUCAGUCUCUUGGAUGUUCUCCUUACAAAGCCCUUUUUGGUUUUAAUAUGAUUAACCACGCGGAGGAUUACCGAUUAUUAAAGAAUUUAUCACUUCUAGAAGAAUCCCCUACAAUAGAUCGGCACGAAAAGUUAUUUUUGUUACGCCAAAAUGUGAAAACAAAUAGUCGAAAAGCCUAUGAAGAGAAUGCAAAACAGUACAACUUGAGGAGUAAGAAUAGUUCAUUCAAAGAAGGUCAAGAAGUUUUCAAACGAAAUUUCCAGUUAAGUAACUUUAGUCAGAACUACAAUAAAAAGUUAGGCCCGUUGUUUUCGAAAUGCAGAGUGAAGAAGAAAUUGGGAAACGCUUAUUAUUUGCUAGAAACCCUGAGUGGAAAAGAGCUAGGAACUUAUCAUGCCAAAGAUAUAAAAUGCUAAUUCCAGCUAAUCAUGUCUCCGGAUUACUCGACAGAUUAUCUGUGGUUGUAAUGGUCACCUGUGCUGCCCAUUCGAGUUUAAAAAAAAUUAGAUUAGAAUAACGUCUAAUCUUAACGAAACUCUCCACUUUUAUCGAUAGGUGUUAGCAAUUUUUUUUUGUUUUAUUCAUUCCUAAUGUGCAUACUAGGCGUUAGUACUUACCUUGACAUUAGCCCUAGCAGCUUAUUAGGUGCCGUCAAAAGUCUUUUUCUUUUUUGAGCUGUCAAACUAAGCAGACGCACACCUUAGUACCAGCUACAACAUAUACAUAAAUCAAGUGGGUGAAACACGUGCAAAGUGAUCACAACAAAAUAAAACAAAUUAAAUCUGAAAAAUCCCCACACAUCAUUGGGCAAAGAAGUGAAGCAAAGACAUCAUUAAAGUCGCAAACAAACCUAGCCUGGGAUCAGGCGUCUUCUAUGGCCGAAAAUCCACAAGAGUCCCACCCGCACCACCUGGAUUCCCUACCUGGAUCAUUACACAUAGUUUUUAUCAGGAUGAGUAACCCUAUCAAAAAUAAAAAAAACACCCACUUAGUCUAUCCCGUCUACAUUUAUACUGAUGUAGACAAUACAUCACAAUACUGAUACACCGGAUAGGAGAAAUUUCGGAUAUCACCUAUAAAUAUAAAACGAUAUCAAAGUAUACAAUAGCGAACGAGAGUCGCCUUCCAAUCGUGUAUUACAUUUCUGUUGUUGUUCACAAACACAAAAAUUAAAUUACAUUAAAAUAUUACAAACUUAUAUUGAACUAGAAAUUUAGAAAAGAAAAAAAAUUAGAUGUAAAAGAAAUGAAUACGAAAGAAAUUAUAGAUAUAGAAAAAUAAUAGUAAUAAUUAUAUUCAAUUACAUUAAAAUAGUAUGAACUUAUAUUGAACUAGAAAUUUAAAGAAAAAAAAAAAAAUAUAUAUAUAGUGAAAAGAAAUUAUGAAUUCUAUUAAAGUACAUUAAAUUCUACGAACUCGAAUUGAACUAAA